This 484-nucleotide ribosomal RNA is filed under the name uncultured bacterium. RNAcentral's name for it is "partial 16S ribosomal RNA". It matches the Rfam family "Bacterial small subunit ribosomal RNA", at positions 29 to 507 of the family's 1533-position model. The record is from RNAcentral.
AUUGAACGCUGGCGGAAUGCUUUACACAUGCAAGUCGAGCGGCAGCGCGGCCUUCGGGCUGGCGGCGAGCGGCGAACGGGUGAGUAAUGCAUCGGAACAUGCCCAGUCGUGGGGGAUAACACUUCGAAAGAAGUGCUAAUACCGCAUACGUCCUGAGGGGGAAAGCGGGGGAUCGCAAGACCUCGCGCGAUUGGAGUGGCCGAUGUCAGAUUAGCUAGUUGGUGGGGUAAAGGCCUACCAAGGCGACGAUCUGUAGCUGGUCUGAGAGGAUGAUCAGCCACACUGGGACUGAGACACGGCCCAGACCCCUACGGGAGGCAGCAGUGGGGAAUUUUGGACAAUGGGGGCAACCCUGAUCCAGCCAUUCCGCGUGAGUGAAGAAGGCCUUCGGGUUGUAAAGCUCUUUCGGCAGGAACGAAACGGUGGGCUCUAACAUAGUCCGCUAAUGACGGUACCUGAAGAAGAAGCACCGGCUAACUACGUG